AUACGGAGGAUGCAAGCGUUAUCCGGAUUUAUUGGGUUUAAAGGGUGCGUAGGCGGUUUGCUAAGCGGGAGGUGAAAUGCCGGCGCCCAACGUCGGAAGUGCCUCCCGAACUGGUGGACUUGAAUGACUCUGCCGUGGGAGGAAUGUGUAGUGUAGCGGUGAAAUGCUUAGAGAUUACACAGAACACCGAUUGCGAAGGCAUCUCACGAAGGGUUGAUUGACGCUGAGGCACGAAAGCGUGGGGAUCAAACAGGAUUAGAUACCCUGGUAGUCCACGCAGUAAACGAUGAUGGCUAACCGCUGGGCUUAUCAGUUCAGUGGCCAAGCGAAAGCGAUAAGCCAUCCACCUGGGGAGUACGACCGCAAGGUUGAAACUCAAAUGAAUUGACGGGG
RNAcentral lists this ribosomal RNA (393 nucleotides) under uncultured bacterium. Its description in RNAcentral is "partial 16S ribosomal RNA". It matches the Rfam family "Bacterial small subunit ribosomal RNA", at positions 523 to 918 of the family's 1533-position model. The record is from RNAcentral.